This 62-nucleotide transfer RNA is filed under the name Amynthas bimaculatus. RNAcentral's name for it is "tRNA-Gly". RNAcentral also lists the same sequence under 1 other name. Lineage: Eukaryota; Metazoa; Annelida; Clitellata; Crassiclitellata; Megascolecidae. The record is from RNAcentral.
AUGUUUUUAGUAUAUAAAGUACACUUACCUUCCAAGUAAGAAGAUAAUUAAUUAAAAACAUA